Molecule: transfer-messenger RNA, 360 nt
Filed under: Halanaerobium salsuginis
Lineage: Bacteria; Bacillati; Bacillota; Clostridia; Halanaerobiales; Halanaerobiaceae
Description: Standard tmRNA
Rfam family: transfer-messenger RNA
About the family: Bacterial tmRNA, also known as 10Sa RNA or SsrA, is named for its dual tRNA and mRNA-like properties. Its role is to liberate the mRNA from a stalled ribosome.
Source: Rfam by way of RNAcentral
GGGGGUGUUCUGGCUUCGCCUGGAUAGUGAACCUUUUGGAAGCGGGUCGAGGAGUUCCUUUCACUCGCUAAAACACUGGAAACUAUAAAAUUAUCUGCAAACGAUAAUAAUUACGCUUUAGCUGCCGCGUAGGUAGUUAACGCCUGAGUGAGUCCUGUCUGUGGAAUCGUCUCAGGUGUCAUAUAAAGCAGACUUACUUUAUUCUCUUGUCUGGGUGAAUAAAGGACAUUAAAUUCAGGCUGGCAUUAAAUAAUCCAGUCCAAUGGAGUGUUUAAUGUAAGACUAAUAAUUGGACUACACUCGUAGAAACUACUGGGUGAGCUAUUCAGUACGUGGGUUCGACUCCCACCACCUCCACCA